Molecule: long non-coding RNA, 2022 nt
Organism: Raphanus sativus (radish)
Lineage: Eukaryota; Viridiplantae; Streptophyta; Magnoliopsida; Brassicales; Brassicaceae
Exons: 8
Source: RefSeq, a predicted model, not a curated record
GUCUUGCUCCUUUCCUAUUAAUCGAUGUGAAACAGAGUGAAAAGAUCUAAGAAACGUUUGAUGUAGCCCUGGAAGGAGGCAAAAAUUUCAUGCUGAUUUUUGCCGUGUUCGUCUUCUCACUGUUAACUUUCCAGUAAAUAUUCUCUAUUCAAUCCUUGCUUCUUUUGUUUGACAACUACGCUUCCAGAGACCGUAGACAGGAAGAGGAGGAGCCUCUGUCUUCCUCAAUCCGAACUGCAGUUCCCCAUUCGUUUUCUCCCUUUCGGAUUCCCUCUUCAUUGCCUCCCGAUCUCAUAACCAUCUUUCCUAAAGCUCAUUCAUUACUGCAUGAAUCAAAAGCCAAGCAACAGUUUCAACUUCCGGUGCUCUCGAUUCUUCCAUUCAUCGCACUUACAUAGACUAAAUGAUCCCUGCAACCAUGGCAAAUAAAACGUCCUCAUCAACCAGAAAGGCAAGACGGCGUGCGUUAUUAUAAAACAAUGUUGGCCCUCGAUUUCGGCUAAUUUCAUUUCUGGGAAUUACGUGAGUAUCAGUCAAGCGUUUUCAACAAAGUAGGAGAAAAAAAACGAAUGAUGGUGCUCAAUGCCUCACAGAGAUUCUGUAAGAAGAUUUAAAAGGGCAAGAAAGUGAGUAAGAAGAUUAAUUACAGAUUCACUGAUCUGUGCUUCGUGUGGUUGAUGUGGAAAUUGGUAUUCAUAUCUGAUUAUAAAAUUCAUGUCGCUUGAAUGCUUAUGACUGAGCCGGCCAAAAGUGAAAGCAAGGCGGAGUAAGACAUAGAUUCUGCAAUGCUCUCCUCUCUGCCAGAGAAGAAAUUGCACAGAUUGAAGAAGUUAAUGCAGAUGUGCAGAAACAACAUCCUUAAGCGUAUGUUUUCAGAGAGCUCCAAAUCCUCCAUCUACGACCCUUAUCAGUUACUUGAUCAAACUUGAGAUCACAAAUACACGCAUCAACUUUACCGACAACGCUUUCAAGUUCCAAAGCCAUCCCAGAUAUAUCGGCGAGAAAAGAAAAGAAGUUUGCAGCAACUGCCUCUAUGAAAACUGAUUUAGAGAAGAAGAAAAUUGAGCAAUGUAAGCUAGAAAAGUGGAGGAAUCACAUAAGAGCAAGGAAAUCUUUUCCACAAGAGCAGGCCGCCAGAGAAAAAGUUGCUGAUCGAGCUAUUUAUUUUUUAAAUUGCAGAACCCUUUUGUUUUUUCAAAUAUUUUGAUUACAGUCUUUUCAUUAUUUAUGCUUAACUGCUUGAGGAACUAAGACAGGGACUUGCCAAGCAAGGUACAAGGUUAUUUGAAUAUAAAAGUCCAACAGUGCUGGUGCAUGUGGAACGGUACAAUAGACUAUGGAGAAUUCAUGAUAGAAGCAAUAGUGCACAUAAACAGAUUCACGGAGUUCAAUUGCUAACACAGACACAAUGAAAAAAAACGUACAACUUUGUUCUAAACUUCUAAGUCGUGGUCUCUCUUAACAUCUUGAACUCUUAAUUUUGUCUUGAGUCAAAGAGAGAGAUUGAUUGCUCCCAUGUCUCAUCUGUUGAGAAGAAAAACUGUCAUGGCUCCCGAGAAAUCCUCUCAGCCGCCGGACAUGGAGACAAAGUUGGAUCUAGAGCCAGAGAGUCAAAGGUAGGAGGUUAUCUUGAUCCAGCAAAAUUAAUCAAAAAGUUCGUGGAACUUUUUUUUUUUAUUAAAAAAAUCGUGGAACUUCGCAUACAAACUUUGAAAGCAAGAUCUCAGUCUCAGCCAGCACAACAAUGAAGUAGGAAUUUUACCACAAAAAAAAACAAUGAAGUAGGAAACCAGCAUUCCUCCUGCGAGCUCCCAUCCUCCAAAGGCUAAUGACCAAACUGUUGACUCUGGCCAAAACAACAAGUUCCCCGUUAUAAGCGAAAAACUUAUCAACAACGUCAUCGAUUACAGGAUGCUUUUAUUGUGAUUUUUAUUGUUUUGUCCUUUAGUUUAGGGUUAAAUUAUCUGCUAUGUUUCUAGAAACAAUAUUUUAAAUCCCAUUCUGGAUAUCGUUUCGGCAUAA